Molecule: ribosomal RNA, 440 nt
Filed under: uncultured bacterium
Lineage: Bacteria
Description: partial 16S ribosomal RNA
Rfam family: Bacterial small subunit ribosomal RNA
Source: RNAcentral
CCUACGGGAGGCAGCAGUGGGGAAUAUUGCGCAAUGCUCGGAAGCUUGAUGCAGCAACGCCGCGUGAAUGACGAAGUCCUCCGGUACGUAAAGUUCUGUCAGCAGGGAAGAAAAUGCAGGUAACUGACUAUGAAGCUACUGAUAAUUCCGUGCUAGCCGCCGCGGUAUUACGCAGGGGGCGCGCGUUCUCCGGUUCUACUGGGUGUAAAGUGAGCGUAGGCGGCGUUGCGAGUCAGUAGUGAAAGCGUAGGGCUCAACUAUGGGACGGCUAGUGAUACUGUGAUACUGGAGUGCAGGAGAGGAUAGCGGAAUUCCUAGUGUAGCGGUGAAAUGCGUAGAUAUCAGGAGGAAUACCGGUGGCGAAGGCGGCAUUCUGGACGGUAACUGACGCUGAGGUGCGAAGGCGUGGGUAGCAAACAGGAUUAGAUACCCUUGUAGUC